This 504-nucleotide ribosomal RNA is filed under the name uncultured bacterium. Its description in RNAcentral is "partial 16S ribosomal RNA". It matches the Rfam family "Bacterial small subunit ribosomal RNA", at positions 30 to 523 of the family's 1533-position model. The record is from RNAcentral.
AUUGAACGCUGGCGGCAGGCCUAACACAUGCAAGUCAAGCGGUAGCACAGAGAGCUUGCUCUCGGGUGACGAGCGGCGGGCGGGUGAGUAAUGUCUGGGAAACUGCCUGAUGGAGGGGGAUAACUACUGGAAACGGUAGCUAAUACCGCAUAACGUCGCAAGACCAAAGAGGGGGACCUUCGGGCCUCUUGCCAUCAGAUGUGCCCAGAUGGGAUUAGCUAGUAGGUGGGGUAACGGCUCACCUAGGCGCCGAUCCCUAGCUGGUCUGAGAGGAUGACCAGCCACACUGGAACUGAGACACGGUCCAGACUCCUACGGGAGGCAGCAGUGGGGAAUAUUGCACAAUGGGCGGAAGCCUGGUGCAGCCAUGCCGCGUGUAUGAAGAAGGCCUUCGGGUUGUAAAGUACUUUCAGCGGGGAGGAAGGUGUUGAGGUUAAUAACCUCAGCAAUUGACGUUACCCGCAGAAGAAGCACCGGCUAACUCCGUGCCAGCCGCCGCAGUAA